RNAcentral lists this long non-coding RNA (1385 nucleotides) under Homo sapiens (human). RNAcentral's name for it is "non-protein coding lnc-SLC7A14-3:1". Lineage: Eukaryota; Metazoa; Chordata; Mammalia; Primates; Hominidae. The record is from RNAcentral.
CGUAUGUGGCAUUUAUUAUGUUAAGACAUUGAACUUCACUUCCUCCUUGGAAGCUAGAUUUGGCCAUGUGAUUAGCUACAGUUAAUGUUUGUAAGUGGAAGCCUUAAAAGUUGAUGUGCAAUUUGCUACACUCCCUUCCCACUGCCAAAUGUUGGUGAAAACGUGUCAAGAUGAUGCCUCUGCCAGCUUGAGUCUUCAUACCCUUCUUCUGACUUGCUUUGGACAUGUAGUAUCAUGGAGAACUAGGAUUUCAAACUGGAUCAUUUUGAGGGUAAAAGGGACAACAGGCACAAUUUGACAAUGUAUGUUCAUCCUAGUGAAACUUGUAAUGUUAAGCCACUGAGACCUGGGGGUUGUUUUUUUACCGCAGCGUAACCUAGCCUAUCUUGAUUGAUAUAUAAAUGCAUGUAUAGAAAUGCUCAAUAACUCAUUCAUAGAAGUGCAACAAAUGACUCAUGUUGCACUAUAACUGUGUGAGGUUGGUAAGAAAAUGGAUUCUAACAUCUAGGCCUAAGGUGAGUCAGCUACAUGGACACUGACAAGUGAGUAACCUGCUGGGAUCAAGAGCUCUUGGCUUCCAAGUGAAGGCUCUUUUUCAGAUCUUUCCAAGGAAAUGUUACCAAGGAGCUACAUUCAGGACAAAAGCUGCUGACAUGAGAAAAGGGUUAGUAUAGCCCAGAAAGACUAGCCUCGGUCUUGUCUGUAUGACCGUAUAUGCUUAAGAGUAUGGCACCAAGUUUUUACCGUGGAGGAGCCUGAGCCAACCUACAGAAUGUUUGAUUUGACCAGCAGAGUAUUGUAGACAAAACAUGAAUUUGCAGCCCUUUCAGUUGAGGAAGCACUCUCAGCUUUGCCACUGCCCUUUGUUUCUUUCUGUCAUUUGAUCCUGCUCUUUUCCACUUCUUCACCUCAGUUGUAUUACCUGCCUGGCUUUUGAAGACAUUUGAGUUUGGACCUCUGCAGGGAACCAUUGUACCUGAGAUGGAAAGCACAGCAGCCCGCAUGGACAGAAACAGGGCACUUCACCUCUGCAGUGUUCCUUCCAUAACCCCAGUCUAAUCAUAAGCAAAAUAAUCAGACAAACCCAGAUUAGGAGACAUCCUACAGGAUACCUGGACAGCAUUCCUAAAGCCUGUCAGGGUCACAAAAAACAAGGAAAGACUGAAGACUGUCAUAGGCCAGAAGCAAAUGGAGAGACAUGGCAACUAAAUGCAAUGUAGUGUCCUGGAUCAGAUACUAGAAUAGUAAGUAACAGGUCAUCAAUAGGAACACUGGUGAAGUCUGAAGAAUGUCUGGAAUUUAGAUAACAGUUACGUACCAAUAAUGGGCUCUUAGUUUUGACAAAUGUACCAUGGUAAUGUAAGACAUUAACAAUGGGAGAAACU